This 3330-nucleotide ribosomal RNA is filed under the name Triticum aestivum (bread wheat). RNAcentral describes it as "partial small subunit ribosomal RNA". The stretch from base 1537 to 1651 matches the Rfam family "MIR1120/MIR1122 microRNA precursor family". Lineage: Eukaryota; Viridiplantae; Streptophyta; Magnoliopsida; Poales; Poaceae. The record is from RNAcentral.
AGCGAUUUCCUCGCGGCGGCGCUAAGUCGCUAACCCUAUGCCCGAGCUGCUCCUAAAAAAAACUGCUCCGCUGUUCGUCAACGCUGCGCCGCCGCCGUUCUCCGUCCCGGCGGCGAGCUUCGGCAACUGAUCUGCUUCGGCCGUUUUCCAUGGCGGGCCGAUGUCCAAUAGUAAUCUCGCUGCACCGCUCUCUCCGUCUCUCGGUAUCCACAGUCGUCUCUCGUGCGACUUUACUCCUUCCUGUUCGUGCGACUUCAAUCAGAUCGCUAACAGCGGAUUCACGGCGAUCCCUUCUGAAUCCCUCUCCGGCGGCGGGAGCAGGAGUGUGGCGACUUGACCCUUGGAGUUGAGGAGAGGCAACGAGGAUGUGGGCACGAGGGGGCAGUGGAGUCUUCCCGGUGGAGUUGAGGUGAGGCAAAUAGCCAAAGACGACGCUGGGCGUGAGGCGGCGGCGGCGGCCUUAGCUCGUGCUCUCCAUCACUCUUUUUUUUUUUUUGUUGAGGCCUCUUAAAACAUUUCAACCUCCAUCUUGCGCAAAUUAGUCCAUGUCAAAUUGUAAUCCUCCUGAUGUCCUGUCCUGCCGCUCUUCAUUUCCGUAGCUGCUACAAUUCCAACGUUAAGGUCUUGUUGAGGAAGGACGGCAAGCUGAUCAACUGCCGCCUCUGGUUCAGACUACAGGAAACGCUAGGCAAAGAUUAGCAUAACUUGAGGAAUUAUGCUCCCAGCCCUUCUUGUUUGAGAUUCCCCCCUGUGCUCUCUAAUUAUCUCUUAAGAGAGUAAUAUUAUUACUGCAUGCCAAGUGUUUUUGUUAUAAAAAAGUUGUUGAUAUUUACACCUAAAAUAGAUUCUGAACUGAUCCAGGUACAGAUGCAUAUUCCAUGUAAUUCCCAACUGAUACCACUUAUUUAAAGUAAUUCCUAACAGGAAUGAGAAUAUUUGUUUGGUAAGACUUGUGAAUUUUCAUUUUUAAACAUGGGAUAUGCAAUGCAUAUAAUGGAGAUUGUAUUAUUGUGCCCUAUGAAGCAGAUGCACAGAGGACAUUCUUAUCUGUAAACAAACUUAUUAUGGCAUGGUUAUCGGGGAUUCAGAUUAGGAUUUGACACCAUUUGGCUGUUCUGGACAAAGCCGACUGUUACAACCCUUUACUCUGCCCUCAGCAUGUUCCAUAACCCUUCUUUUCUCUCCUUUUUAUGUAUCUUGUUGUAAUAUGCAGAUUAUAACAAGGCGUCGAAUCCCAGAUUACGACGAUUAAAAUGAAACAGGGAGCCAGACUUUAAUGGAUUCAUUUCAUGAAUUUUAUUUGAGAUAUGUAUUUUAACUGGUCGUACCUAUAAAAAGCUUGACCAACAUGCCAUAUAGCAUAUGAUGUAUUUUUUUUGGAAGAACUGUUGAGCAUCAUAGUCAUCCUACAAAAAUAUGUUAGACCGAAAAAAUCCAAAAUAGUAUUCUGUGCAAGCAUAACAAGUUGUUCUAUAAAUGGAUAUAAUAGGCAAACACAAGUUGUACCGGGCUACUAUCGUGUAGUUAAUUAUCAAACAUAUACUCCCUCGGUCCGAAAAAGCUUGUCCCUCAAAUGAAUGCAUCUAAUAUCAAAUUAGUGCUAGAUACAUCCAUCCAAGGGACAAGCUUUUCCGGACGGAGGGAGUAAAUCACAUGUUACAAAUGAGAUAUAUUUUUUAUUUAUCAUUCAACCAAAUGAUCAAUAACUUCUCAGCUUUUAGUGCGAUGAUGUUUUUCUUACAAUGUAGAAACUUCUCCACAAGUUAAUGUCUUAUAUGAUUUCGGGUAAUGAAGCACCUGGGGUACUGUGUUGUUUAUCUUCCACCUCGACAUGAAGGCUGGGCAACUGAGGAGAGGGGUCGCCAUCAUGCAAAGGCAUAGCAAACUAUGUGUCUCCACAUCCACCUGCAUGUUCGGGCUCCAAGAUUGGGCAGACCUCCCGAAGGAUCUGUUGCAAUCAGUAUUCUCUCGCUUAGGCUCGAUCCUUGACCUUCUCGCCUUUGUUGCAACCUGCCGUUCUUGGCGGGUUGCAUUAACUUCAUACUCAUCCAAAUCCACCUUAUGCACUUUAUUCCCGCCUCUCCUCAUCCAACCCAACAUUCGUGUCCAUGUUCCUCAUCCUCCAUGUAACAAUGGUCAUCGCCACUUACAGGCAUAUAAAGUUAUCGAUCCAGCCAAGCAAAGUGCCACCGGCCUUCACUGCCAUAUUGAUGAAGAAAUUUUGCAGACGAUGCGUUGUGCUGGCCCUUCAUAUGGUCAACUCAUCUUCUACAACCGUGGACAUUGCGUUGUUGUUAUUCCUUUUAGAGGUACCAAGGUUUCACCUCCACGUCUCCCAUUGUGUGAUGACUAUAGGAAGCUCAACUGGUCUGAUAUUCCAUUCAAUCAAAAAAUCAUGGAGCUCCAACAACUAGUUACAGAGUCUUACUGCAGCGCCAUUCUAACAGCUCCCCUUGCAUCACCAAACUCGCAUAUGCUUGUUAGCACCGGCCUCUCCUUAUUUAGUUGGCCGGUUGGAAGUGAUACUUGGUCUGAACUCCAGUGUUCUGGUGUACAAAUAAUUCAGAUUGUGGAAUUCAACGGCCAAUUCAUUGCCAUGGACCUUCGUCAACAGAUAUACACUUUGGAGGUGGCCCCCAAGCUUAGACUGCAGGAGAUAACCACUAACCACCCCCCUGACUUGACCAAGAGCUCCCAAGACCCGUCUAAAACAUCAUGGCUAGUGGUCUGCGGUGACAUGCUUCUGAUGUUGGUCCAUUCUUGCACGAGUAUUCACUACAAUGCCAGUGUGCCAUUUGUCCGCACGGUCCAUUACCUUGACAUGUCAACCAAGCCUGCAAAAUGGGUGGAUAUGGAAAAGCUGGACAAUUGGGCCAUCUUCACGGGGAGUGAUAUCAGGAGUACAUCAUUUUCUUGCAUGAACCCAGAACAUUGGGGAGGAAGGAGCAAAUGUCUAUAUGUUGCUCGUUCCCCUAAACCUUGGAGUGAAUAUGGGUUAGGCAAUGAGCCAGAUCCAUCUGUUGAUCCUGUUCAUCAGCACUUCAGGAUCUGGUGCCACCUGAUGCAACCCCUUUGGGUGUACCCGAGCAUGCUCUAUUCGGAUGGCCCUUGAUCAUCAUGUGUACCUACAACUUGUUGGUCUAUAAGCUCAAGCUUAUUGGGAAAUUUCCUCUUCUGCAACUCCGGUAUGAGUUUGAAGAUGUUCAUAGUGACAUUAGCACUCGGAAUUCAACCUUUGCAUUAUAUUUUGGUCCCCCGGUUUCUAAUAUUUUGUAAGAGAUGUUUAUGGUGGUUGUAUUACUGCUUAAGCUGAACCUCCUAGCCUUCUAU